AAGGAUUCUGGGAGGUGUAGUUGAGCCACAUCUGGAGGACCUGACAUGUUCCUAAUCUCUGGGUUUAGUGUAUUGUUGCUCUUGCUUCUGUAUUGCCACCCAACUUGCACCUGCUGUCUCCCCAGUGAUGAGACUUUUACCGCCCCAGUCUGAUUUCUUGUGACUGAGUGGUCCUUUCUGAGGCUUAAGAGCUCAGCAGGACUUGGGUGAGGUUGGAAGGUCAUAGCUGCAAAUCAGGACUUAAUAAUAAUAAUUUUCUCUUGCUUUCCAGGAUCUGCUGUUUCUUUCAAACGGCAGAAUGGAGCAGUUAAUUUAAAAGACUGUGCUUCCAACAGAAUGCAGUACAUACUCGAGAGACUCCCUUGUGGACUAGACUGCUUGUCCUCCUGUCUCCAAAGGAGAAAAAAUGGUGAACCUGAAUUGGGCCCGCCCUCCCUCCCUCCCUGAUGGAGAUUGAGCAGAUGACUCCCUGAAACUAACUAUAGUCCUAAGCUAGCUGCCAGACCAUUGGUCCAUCCAUCUCUGCAUUGUCUACAUGAACUGGCAGCAGAUGCAAAGAGGAAGAGCUCAAAUUGGACAGUGUGGGACUCCUACUGGUCUUUCCAGUAACUGGUAGCUUCCUUAGUUGUGAUAUUGCUGCAGCAUUGAUUCCUUCUAGCCCACUUCACCCGGCCUGUACAAGAUCACCCAGCCUUGCUUUGCAUCCAACAGGCAUGCACAGUUGGAGACUGUUCUCAAGAUGAUCAGCAAGUUGUCAGUGCU
Long non-coding RNA from Lacerta agilis (Sand lizard), 762 nucleotides. RefSeq lists it as uncharacterized. NCBI's taxonomy places the organism in Eukaryota, Metazoa, Chordata, Lepidosauria, Squamata, Lacertidae. The transcript has 6 exons. The record is from RefSeq and is a predicted model, not a curated record.